AUUGAACGCUGGCGGAAUGCUUUACACAUGCAAGUCGAACGGUAGAGGGGGCAACCCCUCGAGAGUGGCGAACGGGUGAGUAAUAUAUCGGAACGUGCCCAGUCGUGGGGGAUAACGUAGCGAAAGUUACGCUAAUACCGCAUACGAUCUAAGGAUGACAGCGGGGGAUCGCAAGACCUCGCGCGAUUGGAGCGGCCGAUAUCCGCUCAGGGAGUUGGGGGGGUAAAGGCUCACCAAGCCAACCAUCUGCAGCUGGUCUGAGAGGACGACCAGGCACACUGGGACGGAGAGACGGUCCAGGCUCCUGAGGGGGGCAGCAGUGGGGGAUUUUGGACAGUGGACGGAAGUCUGAUCCAGCGAUUCCGCGUGAGGGAUGAAGGCCCUCGGGUUGUAAGCUGCUUUUGUACGGAACGAAAAGGUCACUCUUAAUACGGGGGGCUCAUGACGGUACCGUAAGAAUAAGCACCGGCUAACUACGUGCCAGCCGCCGCGGUAA
This 496-nucleotide ribosomal RNA is filed under the name uncultured bacterium. RNAcentral's name for it is "partial 16S ribosomal RNA". It matches the Rfam family "Bacterial small subunit ribosomal RNA", at positions 29 to 523 of the family's 1533-position model. The record is from RNAcentral.